UCUUGGUGCAGUGAAUUUCAUUACAACAGCAAUUAAUAUACGAUCAGAAAGUAUAACUUUAGAUCAAACACCUUUAUUUGUAUGAUCUGUAGCUAUUACAGCAUUACUUCUCCUUCUUUCACUUCCAGUUUUAGCAGGAGCUAUUACUAUAUUAUUAACAGAUCGAAAUUUAAAUACAUCAUUCUUUGACCCUACAGGAGGGGGUGACCCAAUUCUAUAUCAACAUCUAUUUUGAUUCUUUGGACACCCAGAAGUUUAUAUUUUAAUUCUACCGGGGUUCGGAAUUAUUUCACAUAUUGUAUGUCAAGAAAGAGGAAAAAUUGAAUCAUUUGGAACAUUAGGUAUAAUUUAUGCUAUACUAUCAAUUGGACUAAUAGGAUUUAUUGUAUGAGCACAUCAUAUAUUUACAGUAGGAAUGGAUGUUGACACACGAGCAUAUUUUACAUCAGCAACAAUAAUUAUUGCUGUACCUACAGGAAUUAAGGUAUUUAGAUGAUUAGCUACAUUAUAUGGAACUAAAUUCAAGUUCAAUCCACCAUUAUUAUGAGCUCUAGGAUUUAUUUUCCUAUUUACAAUUGGUGGAUUAACAGGAUUAGUAUUAGCAAAUUCAUCACUUGAUAUUGUAUUACAUGAUACAUAUUAUGUAGUAGCCCACUUUCAUUAUGUAUUAUCUAUAGGAGCAGUAUUUGCAAUUAUAGGAGGUGUCAUUCAAUGAUAUCCACCAUUUACAGGAUUAACUAUAAAUAAUACAUGAUUAAAAAUCCAAUUUACAAUUAUAUUCAUUGGAGUAAAUUUAACAUUCUUUCCUCAACACUUCCUAGGAUUAGCAGGAAUACCUCGACGAUACUCUGACUACCCAGACGCAUAUACAUCAUGAAACGUAGUAUCAAGAAUUGGGUCUACAAUUUCUAUUGUAGGAAUCAUUAUAUUCAUUGUAAUUAUAUGAGAAAGAAUGAUUACAAACCGAGCAAUUAUAUUUAGAGCUAACAUAAGAAGAUCAACAGAAUGACUACAAAAUAACCCUCCUGCAGAACAUAGUUACUCAGAAUUACCAUUAAUCUCUAGAU
Molecule: long non-coding RNA, 1067 nt
Organism: Schistocerca gregaria
Lineage: Eukaryota; Metazoa; Arthropoda; Insecta; Orthoptera; Acrididae
Exons: 2
Source: RefSeq, a predicted model, not a curated record